Molecule: ribosomal RNA, 449 nt
Filed under: uncultured bacterium
Lineage: Bacteria
Description: partial 16S ribosomal RNA
Rfam family: Bacterial small subunit ribosomal RNA
Source: RNAcentral
CCUACGGGUGGCUGCAGUGGGGAAUUUUGGACAAUGGGGGCAACCCUGAUCCAGCCAUUCCGCGUGAGUGAAGAAGGCCUUCGGGUUGUAAAGCUCUUUUGUCCGGAGCGAAACGGGCGGCCCUAAUACGGUCGUCUACUGACGGUACCGGAAGAAUAAGCACCGGCUAACUACGUGCCAGCAGCCGCGGUAAUACGUACGGAGCGACCGUGAAUCGGAAGUGCGGGGCGUAAAGUGUGAGCAGGAUGUGAAAUCCCCGGGCUCAACCUGGGAAUGGCAUUUGGGACUGCAAGGCUGGAGUGUGGCAGAGGGGACUAGAAUUCCUGGUGUAGCAGUGAAAUGCGUAGAUAUCAGGAGGAAUACCGAUGGCGAAGGCAGGUCCCUGGGUUAACACUGACGCUCAUGCACGAAAGCGUGGGGAGCAAACAGGAUUAGAUACCCCGGUAGUC